Molecule: ribosomal RNA, 386 nt
Filed under: uncultured bacterium
Lineage: Bacteria
Description: bacterial SSU rRNA
Rfam family: Bacterial small subunit ribosomal RNA
Source: RNAcentral
AUUGAACGCUGGCGGCAUGCCUUACACAUACAAGUCGAACGGUAACGGGCCUUCGGGUGCCGACGAGUGGCGAACGGGUGAGUAAUGCAUCGGAACGUACCUUUCAGUGGGGGAUAACGUAGCGAAAGUUACGCUAAUACCGCAUAUUCUGUGAGCAGGAAAGCAGGGGAUCGCAAGACCUCGCGCUGAUUGAGCGGCCGAUGUCAGAUUAGCUAGUUGGUGAGGUAAAGGCUCACCAAGGCGACGAUCUGUAGCGGGUCUGAGAGGAUGAUCCGCCACACUGGAACUGAGACACGGUCCAGACUCCUACGGGAGGCAGCAGUGGGGAAUUUUGGACAAUGGGGCAACCCUGAUCCAGCCAUGCCGCGUGAGUGAAGAAGGCCUUC